Molecule: long non-coding RNA, 39498 nt
Filed under: Homo sapiens (human)
Lineage: Eukaryota; Metazoa; Chordata; Mammalia; Primates; Hominidae
Description: non-protein coding NIFK-AS1:24
Source: RNAcentral
CUGGCCGUGUUAGGCUUCGCUGGCGUAAAGUCCCCGGGAGCUUUGCCCCUCACGGAGAACGUUAGUUGACCCUGAUGGGGACCCGUAGGGUAAAGGUUUUGUUUUUGUUUUUUUUUACGGAAAAGGUUGUGGUUAGGCCCCUUGGAAAGUUGCGACAAAACUCGAGUUAGACAAGGAAGGUCGGAACUAAGUGGCCACAGCAACAAUGCACCAGCAAGCAGGGAGCGUGAUAGGAAGAGCUAAAGAGGAAUCGGGAAACCCUGGGUAAAAGUCGUCCAAGUGGAACUUCCUUUGGUCGGGGGUCUGAUACUCGAAGGAAACGGUCUUUCACUUCUGGGUUAGGGCGUCCGCCCAGAGGGCGACUGCAAUGAAGGAAAUUGUGCCCUGCGACUUCCCGUAACAGAGCUGUGUGUCCACGCUCCCUUUUCCGAGCAGGCGCGGACGCUUGUGCCGGAAGUAAACUUGUUAACGGUUCUUUGCCUUUUGGGGAGGGGAGACAGCCCAGAGAAGGCUUUGGAGACCCUUGAGUCGGCCAGCGAGCAGGGUUUCUUACUUGAGCGCCUCCACAAAUAAACGCUCCUUCGCUCCUCCGUCGCGUGCGUUUCCCUGGGAUAAUAAGUGGGAAAGUGGUGGCUUUUAUUUUUUUGAGACAGGGUCUCACCGCCGUCGCCCAGGCCGGAUGGAGUGCAGUGGCGCGAUCACGGCUCACUGCAGCCUCGACUUCCCAGGCUCAGGGAUGGGUUUCACCAUGUUUCCCAGCCUUGUCUCAAACUCCUGACCUCAAGUGAUCCGCCGUCUUGGGUCUUCGAAAGUGCUGGGACAGCAGGAGUGAGCCACCGCAUCUGGCCCGGAAAGUGUUUUGGAGCGUAGAAAAAUGCAAAUUAUAGGGCUGCCUUCAAGGAUCCCGAAGGACCCACAGAUUUGCCGCAUCAGGCUCCUAUGCACGCCGGUAAUUUGAUGUGUUGAGAUGCACUGCCCAGUGCGUUGUUUUUACUGGAGGAGCUUGUGUGCGGAGCUCCUUGCUAGUGUAUGUGUUGGGAUGGGAGAGAAGUGCGGGAGAACUAUGAGAUAAUGCCCCCUGAUCCUCAGGGUCUUAGGAGGUAUGGUCGGAGAGGCUAAGCUAAAGUAUGAAAGCCGUGUGUAGGCCCUUCUGUGUAGUGCAGAAAAGGUAGAGGUAUGUGAUUUGAAAGAGUAGGGAUGACAUGGAGGAUGCGACUCCUGGUUGGAUCUAUAAACUAAUGUCUUUGGAACGAAAGCACAUGCAACCUUUUGAAAAUGGAUGGGUGAUAAUGAAAGACCAUUCCAGAGAAGAAACACCAUGGUGCAAAGGCUCAAGAGGCAUACUGGAAGUACAAUGAAGAGAGCAAUCUAACUGAAAUGGGAAAAAAAGAAACAAAGAGUAAAAAGUAAGAUUUGAUGAGAAAGAUGGAAUCGAUUUUUAAAUUUUUUUAUCUACACAACAAAAUUUAUUAUCUUAACCAUUUUUGAGUGAAUAAUUCGUUAGUAUUAAGUAUAUUUACCUCGUGCGGCCAGUCUCCAGAAUUCUUUUCAUCUUGCAAAACAAACCCCGAACCCAUUAAACAAUUUCUCAUUCGCCAUUUUCCAGCUAGCCUUGGUAACCUCCAUUCUAGUUCUGUCUCUGUGAAUUUGACUGUGUACCCCGUGUAAGUGGUAUCAUACAGUAUUUGUAUUUUUGUGACUGGCAUAUUUCACAUAGCAUAAUCUCCUUGUGGUUUAUCCAUCUUGUAGCAUGUGUCAGAAUUUCCUUCCCUUUUAAGACUAAAUAAUAUUCCAUUGUGUGUAUAUACCACUUGUGUUAUUUCCACCUUUUGGUUAUUGUGAAUAAUACUGCUUCAAACAUGAGUGUACAGAUAACUCUUCAAGAUCCUUUUAGGGUAAUACAGAGAUAGUAAGUUAUCUUGAUUGUUCACUGCCAGUUACAGACCAAACUCCUUGUUCUCCUUGUGCUCCACUUCUCAACCACUGCACUUGGCUAGUCUUAAACAAAAAAAGAAAAACCCUAAUUUUAAUAGCUUGUGGGGACAGACGCAGUGGCUCACGCCUAUAAUCCCAACACUUUGGGAGGCCGAGGUGGGUGGAUCACUUGAGGUCAAAAGUUCGAGACCAGCCUGGCCAAUAUGGUAAAACCCUGUCUCUACUAAAAAUACAAAAAUUAGCCGGGUACGGUGGCACACACCUGUAAUCCCAGCCACUCAGGAGACUGAGGCAGGAGAAAUGCUUGAACCCAGGAAGUGGAGGUUGUGGUGAACGGAAAUUGCGCCGCCGCACUCAAGCUGGGCGACAGCGAGACUCCGUCUCAAAAAUUAGUAUUAAUAGAAUGUGGGAGAUUUUGAAACCAAGUAUAGAAAUUCAUACUUUAUAUUGUUUAAGGUCCGUGACUAGGCAUAGUAACAUGAUGAAAGAACUGUUUUGGGUUUGUUUGGUUUUUUUCCGAGACAGAGUCUCACUCUGUUGCCCAGGCUGGCGUGCAGUGGUGCGAUCUCGGCUCACUGCAACCUCUGCCUCCCUGGUUGAAGCGAUUCUCUUUCCUCAGCCUCCUGAGUAGCUGGGACUACAGGCACAUGCCACCACGCCCAGCUAAUCGUUGUAUUUUUAGUAGAGGCGGGGUUUCACCAUGUUGGCCAGGAUGGUCUCGAUCUCUUGACCUCGUGAUCCAGCCUCCCAAAGUGCUGGGAUUACAGGCAGGAGCCACCACGCCCAGCUAGAAAGAUCUGUUUCAGAAAGCAACUCUGGCAGUGGAAGCUGAAUACAUACUCCAUUUCUAUAAAGCAUUUAUGGAGGCCUCUAGAUGUGCCAGGCAUUGUACUACUGCUUUAUGUAAAUUAUUGAUGGGUCCGCGAAUCCAUUAAUAUAAAUGUGAGCCAGUUGUUGUGCACCCCAAUUUACAGGCAAGAAAAUCAAGGUUCUGAGUUGCAGAUGGGCUGAGAAAAGGCUCACCAACCACAUGUACGCACAAGAGAUUAGGAAAGAAAACUGCCAUUGGAGCCAGGCUCCAGUAAGCACUGAGUAUUCAUUGGUUUGGAUGAGGAUACUGAAAGAAAAAAAUGACAUGUAAGAGUGACUUUUCUCAGGAGAAAGAAUAGGCUGACAUCAAGAGUCUUUGCUGUCACAUUAGUGGUAUGUAUAAGGGCACAACACAACAGAAGUACAUUUUUCAAGGUUCGUAAAAGAACCCUGGGGUUUGCUUUUAGGUUUGUUUAUUACCUUUAACAAAUAUAAAAUGCCAGGUAAAUAUAUCUUUGUAUGUAGUAGAGAAAUUAAUAAGACAUACCCUUCCCUACUCAACAUUUCAUCUUUGAUUUUAUAUUCUCAAAAAUAUUGUGAGGUCUUUUAAGGAAAUGAUCUCCUUUUGGCAGAUGAGGAAAUUGAGGGCCAGAGAGGAAAAAUUAUCUUCCCAAUGCCACAUGCCUAAUUGGUCUCAAAGCUUUGACUGGAACCUGAGCCUCCAGAAUUGCUGCUAUGCUUUCAUCUCCCUUAGAGAGAUAGAUAACAGUAGUCAGAGUGAGUGGACAAUUCUUCUAUUCAGUCAGUCUGAUCUUCCUCAGGGAUGCAUAUCCAGACUCCCAUGCAGCUAGUGAUAGUUAAACAAAGAGGCAGAGAAUAUAGUGCAUUAUAAAUAGCAUUCAUACACUCAAAAAUAUUGUGUGCCGAUACUGUGCCAAACACUUAGCAAAGCAGGGAAAAAUCCCUGUCCUCAUAGCAGAGACUAAAAAUAUUAAUAAGUAAAAUAUAUACUAAGACAGGUAGGAUAAGUGUUGGCAAGAAAAAGUGAAGCAGUGAGAGGGGAAUAGGGUGAGCCGAGAGUAGGGAGGGAGGUUUUUGUUUAUACCAGAGGCAGAGGAGCCCCACUGAGAAGGCAAACUGUACAAAGAUCUAAAGGAGGCAAAGGAACAAGAAAUGUGCCUUGGGUGGACAGGGAACAUUCUGGGUGGAAUAACAAGUGCAGAAAUCAUUAAGGCAGAAAGAUGCCUACUACAUUCUGAGAACAGAAAGCAGUCCAGAGUGAUAGAAGCAGAGUACAGGAGGGUAAAAGUAGGAAAUGAAGUCAGAGAGGUAAGAGGAAUUCAAAUUGGGCAUGGACUUACAGGCCAUUGUAAGGACUUUGGCUUUUUCUGAGGGAGAUGGGAAGCCAUCGUUGAGUAGAAAAAUAGUGAAAUUCUACUUAUAUAUUUAAAGAAUCACAUUGACUUCUAGUUUGACACUAGAUUAUUGAGGAGCAAGGGGGACCACUUAGGAAGCUAUUGUAAUACUCCAGGUGAGAGAUAAGUGGCAUAGAAAAGGUGCAAGCAGUGGAGGGAUGAGGUAUCUGGAUAUAUUCAGGGUGGCACACAGGAUUUGAUGACAAUUUAUAUAGGAUAUGAGAAAAUGAAGGGAGUCCAAGGUGACUACGAUUUUUGGCCUGAGCAUUUUGAAGAAUGGUGUUGUCAUUUACUGAACUGGGAAAGAUGGAGGAGCAGGUUGGGGAUGGGAAGAGAUAAAUUCCAUUUUGGGCCAGGCAGGGUGGCUCACACCUGUAAUCCCAGUACUUUGGGAGGCCAAGGCAGGCAGAUCGCUUGAGCUCAGGAGUUCAAAACCAGCCUGGGUAACAUGGUAAAACCCCAUCUCUACAAAAAUUAGCCAGGUAUGGUGGCAGAUGCCCAUAGUCUCAGCUGCUUGGGAGGAUCACUUGAGCCCUGGAGGUGGAGGUUGCAGUGAGCCAAAAUGGCACCACUGCACUCCAGCCUGGGUGACAGAAUGAGACCCCGUCUCAAAAAGACAAACAAAAAUUCUGUUUUGGAGCUUAAAUUUGAGAUGCCUGUUAGAAUGCCACAUGAAAAUAUUAAGAAGAGAGUUAGAUAUGUAGGAGUCUGGAAUUUAGAAAUGUCCAGACUGGAGAUGUAAAUUUGGGAGAGAGCAUGUAGAGAGUAUUUGAAGCCAUGAAAUAAUCUACAUAUAAAGUGUAGACAGAUGUUUGAGAAAGGUAUCUUAGGCACUGAAACAGGAGGAAACCAGGAAAAGAAUCCCAGUUGAACUGGGUGGGGAGGAUGGCUCAAGGAAGAACAACCAUGUCAAUUGCUGGGUUCUAACUGGCCACUGCUUAUGAUAGUGGAGUAGUAAGGAUAAAAGCCUGAUUGGAAUGGAUUUAGAAUAGUGGGAACGGAAUUGGAGAGAGGGAGAAUAGAUAAUUUGGGUAUGGAGUUGGUUGUAAGGAUAGCGGGUAGAAAAGUGAUAACUGCAAGGGGUCAAGACAGUGGUUUUAAAAUUACUUCACAAAUUUUUUAGUAUUUCUAAAAGAAUUCUUUUUUUAAUAAAUAUAACUUCAGACCGCUAUUGUUCCUUUGUAUCAACUACCCUGUUAUUCAAAUUAACCCAACUGUCUUAUAAAAUUUUUUGCUACCAGCUUUAUUGAGAUAUAAUUCAUAUACCAUACUAUUCACUCAUUUAAAGUAUACAAUUCAACAACUUUAGUGCAUUCAAAGAGUUGUGCAGGGUGGGCGCGGCAGCACAUGCCUGUAAUUCCAGCACAUUGGGAAGCCAAGACGAGGAUCAUUUGAGCCAAGGAGUUCGAGCUCAGCCUGGGCAACAUGCAAAACCACUUCUCUACAAAAAUUAGCUAGGCGUGGUGGUGUGCGCAUGUAGUCCCAGCUACCUGGGAGGCUGAGGUGGGAGGAUUACUUGAGCCCAGGAGGCAGACAUUGCAGUGAGCGCCACUGCACUCCAGCCUGGGCAACAAAGUGAGACCCUGUCUCAAAAAAAAAAACAAAAGUUGUGCAACCACCAUUACAAUUUGUUUUAGGACAUUUUCAGCACCCCAAAAAGAAACAUUACUAUGCACUUAGGGUGAUAAUGAUGUGUCAGUGUAGGUUCAUCAAUUGUAACCACUCCGGUGAGGGAUGUUGAUAAUGGGGUGACUGAUUUUGAUUUGCUGUGUGUGUGUGUGUGUGUGUGUGUGUGUGUGUGUGUGAGAGAGAGAGAGACAGGGUCUCACUCUGUCACCCAGGCUAGCAUGCAGUAGCACAAUUACAGCUCACCACAGCUUCAACCUCCCAUCGCAGCCUCUUGGUGGGGCUGAGCUGGGAGGAUCGCUUGAGCCCAGGAGGUCAAGGCUGCAGUGAGCCAUGAGUGUGCCACUCCACUCUAGCCUGGAUGACAUAGUGAGACCCUGUCUCAAAACAAACAAACAAAAAAAGUGAAAAGUAUCAGGAGAGCAGGAAGCCAAGGCCAAAAGCGUUGUUUUCUGGAUUCUAGUUCUGGCUCUGCAGCUAAUCAACAUGCACUCUCAGUGUCCUGUCCAUAGGGUAAAAGAUUGCAUGAGUAGCUCUAAAGGCCUGUAAGCUUUAUGAUUUUAUGCCUAUUCUUGAUUUUUCUCACAGUUUUGAGGAUGCUAUUUUUGUUAAUAUCUUUUUUUUUAUACUUUUAAGUUUUAGGAUACAUGUGCACAAUGUGCAGGUUUGUUACAUAUGUAUACAUGUGCCAUGUUGGUGUGCUGCACCCAUUAACUCGUUAUUUAACAUUAGGUAUAUCUCCUAAUGCUAUCCCUCCCCCCUCCCCCACCCUAUUUUUGUUAAUAUCUUUAGCGCUACUUGUUUUUAUCUGCAUUCUGAUUAUGCUUUACUCAGCAACUAACUGGCAUAGGCCUGCCCCAGGUGUCAGUUCGUAUAGCAAAUUCAGCUUGAGCAUAAAGAACUUUCUGGAAGCAAAGACACCAAAAUAUUAGCAAUUUAUUAUUUCUAGGUGGUAAGAUUAUUGGUCAUUUUAAAAUUUACAUUUGUAUUCUUUAUUUUAUUCUACAAACAUAUAUUUUUUUGGCCAGGCACGGUGGCUCACACCUGUAAUCCCAGCACUUUGGGAGGCCAAGGCAGGUGGAUUAGCCAGGUGUGGUGAUGGGCGCCUGUAAUCCCAGCUACUUGGGAGGCUGAGGCAGGAGAAUAACUUGAACCCGGGAGGCAGAGGUUGCAGUAAGCCAAGAUCCCGCCACUGCACUCCUGCCUAGAUGACAGAGUGAGACCCUCUGUCACACACACACACACACACACACACACACACUCUCUCUCUCUCUCUCUCUCUAUAUAUAUAUAUAUACACACACACACACAUAUGUAUAUAUAUUUUUUAAAAAAUUUUUUUUAUUUUUAGUAGAGACAAGGUCUCGCUAUGUUGCCCAGGCUGGUCUUGAACUCCUGGGAUCAAGGGAUCCUCUCACCUCAGCCUCCCAGAGUGCUGAGAUUACAGAUGUGAGCCACUUGGCUGGCACUUUUUUUUUUUUUUUUUUGAAAUGGAGUCUCUCUUUCUUGUUGCCCGGGUUGGAGUGCAAUGGCGUGAUCUUGGCAACCUCCACUUCUCAGUUUCAAGCAGUUCUCCUGUCUCAGCCUCCCAAUUAGCUGGGAUUACAGGCGUGCACCACCACGCCCAACUAAGGCAUAUUUUUAUAAUAUUUUAAAAGUUAUUCUUAAGGCAUUUGAUAGCAUAUUUUUGAUUGCAUGCCCCAGCAAAGAGGAAUCACUAAACUUUAGGUCAGUAGAUUUCUUUCUCUUCCUAUAAUUCAGUUUGGCAGCAUCUUCCAUUCUAAGUUAACCUAAAUACUUUAGUAAUAAAGACUUACAUGUAUCUAAUUAGAUAGUCAGCUUUACUUAAUCUUCUUAAUCAUCUAGAUUAGAUGUUAAGUGAAAAAAUAUUUUGUGCCUACAGAAAUUAAGAUUCGGAAAGAACAGUAGCACAUACAUGCUAUCAACAUCUGUGUCAUAACUCAUAUGGAAUCUGGAUUUGCGCUACUUGGGGAACAGGUAGUGUCUGCUAGAGAAGUGGUGUGACAGAAACAUGGGCAAAGGCAGGGUGUGUCUUUUGUAAAUGAUGAAAACAGAAGAUUAAAAACAAGUUUGCUAAAUCAUGUUCAUAACCACUCCCUGGAGAGCAAUUACUCUGAUUACUCGACUUACCUGGUAAGUACCACCCACUGUAGGAGAAAAUACAGAUGUUUGGUUCACUGUUAUGGGUUUCCCCAUGUGCAAAGGUGUUAUGCUGCUGCUAUGCUCGUCUUUAAACACUGUAGUAGCAGUUACUGAAGAAUGGUAGAGUAAGGGGUGCCCUCACAGCUGUCAACUCACUGUGUGAUCCAGACGAGUAACGUAGCCUGGUCGCAAGCUCCAAGGUUACUUAUCUUUAGUGGAGGGGAUAGUUCUAGUUUCCAGUGUUAUCACGACUAGUAAAAUUGAUAUUAUAAAAUCCACUUCUCAGUAAGGAAGGCAGUUUGAAAGCGUUCUUGUUGUGAGAAGCAUGACAAAUACAGGCAGUUCUAUGGACAGUGUUUAUGUAAAACAAAUUAUUGAAUAGCCAUUUGAACAUUAACUGUUGCCCAGUGUGUUAUAAUGUGUACCUGCUCAGGCAUUUUGAAGACUCUUCUUACACCUAGUGAGGACCAAGGGCAAAUAGCAAAAAGUAACCUGACAUAGAGUUUUAGUUUGGAGAUUUUCUUUUGAAUUGCCCUCAGGGAGAUUUCUCAAGCAACACUGGUCCAUGCCAAUUUGCAAAUGGACUCUUGUGCCAGUGGCUCAAUCAACCCAUCCAAAUGCAGAGAACCAUUUGGAGGCAUUCAAAACCAAAUGAGGGGCAAUUUUCUUUCAUUUAUAUGCUGUCUGUUAACCUCUCUUUCACCAAAAAUUAACCUGAUUCUGGGUAUGCAUACCUGAAAAAACACAAUUUUUACACUCAAGGAAGUUUCAUUUUUUCAUAGGAAAAAAUCAACUAUUACUAAACUAUACAGUUACUACAGUGAUGGAGAUGUGUGCAGGCUGCUGUAGGAACAUAAAAGGGAGCGCCUAACAGGUGUGGGUGAGUCAAAGAGAGCUGGGGAGGAAUGAAGGCAACAUUCUUGAGCUAAACCAAAUAAACAAAACAUUGCAACUCACAAUUAUGACCUAUUUCAAACUCUUAGAACUACAGUAAUGAUUUAGACUAGUUCUCAUUUGGACAGGGUUUAUUUACUCUUACGGUUUCAAGCACCCCUUAAUCUUUCCAUUUUAACAAGGGUAUAUGGAGCUUCACAGAUAAUAUCUCCAAAAAUGGGCAUAUUUUGACUUGUAGACCAUCACCUGCACACACACUUCAAGGUCACUUUCAUACAGCAAAGUGAGGAAAGAGUUUAUUAGCUAGAUGAGAAUGUGUAAAUGAGGCCGGGUGUGGUGGCUCACGCCUGUAAUCCCAGCACUUCGGGAGGCUGAGAUGGGUGGAUCUCCUUUGGUCAGGAGUUAGAGACCAGCCGGGCCAACAUGGUGAAACCCUGUCUCUACUAAAAAUACAAAAAUUAGCUGGCAUGGUGGCGGGCGCCUGUAGUCCCAGCUACUCAGGAGGCUGAGGCAGGACAAUCCCUUGAACCCAGGAGGUGGAGGUUGCAGUGAGCCAAGAUCACGCCACUGCACUUCAGACUGGUGACAGAGCAAGACUGUCUCAAAAAAACAAUGUGUAAAUGAAACUGCCCUACUAUUUCUGCUUUAGUAAAAACAACAGAUUCUGGUCAGUAUUUGUUCACUUAUAUUGGGCAUAAGAUAAUUCCUGCUGUUUGUUGCAGAUCUUGGCAUACUGCCUGAUUGUCCUGCAUGGGAAUCUUGGACUGCUACUACAGCAAUUUCAUGACUGUGUUUCUUCUAUUUUUGUUUUUACCACGUUAGUUAUAUCAUGCAGUACUUGAAACGAAGGUGGAGUCUGUCACUCUGUCAGCCUGCAGUUUAAAAAGUUAGAUGAUGCAUUAAAAAAUCAACAAAUUUUGCCAGGAAGGCAGUGUGUGCCUGUGGUCCUAACUUCUCGGAAGACUGAGUCAGGAGGAUUGCUUGAGCCUAGCAGUUUGAAUCCAGUCUGGGCAACAUAGUGAGACCCUUUGUCUUAAAAAAAAUCAACACAUUUUAAAAGUAUUUCAAGAUUUGUAUUUGCCAUAUUUCCAAGCUAGUAUUAUUUAUUUAGAGUUUCCUAUUGCGGGUGAAAUUCUCUUGUCUUUUGCUGUUUGCAGUAACUUGAGUCUUUUUUCAUCUCUUCAGAUAAUCUACUUAUAUUCAUGCCAAGUUUUCUAGUUUUCCUAUUGCUUCCUCUAAUUUUCAAAUAGAGUAUAUACAAUAUUGAGCAUAGUUUCUCAUUAGUCUGUUCACAGUCACUAAACUAAUCCUCAAAUGUAUUUGAUUCUAUCACUUUCCAAAAUUUGCCUUUGCUGGUUCAUAAUAUAGUUACCUAACUUCCCCAGCUCUGCCCUCGCUCAUGAACUGUAUUUCUCUACAUUACCCCCACACUGCAUUGGCAUUCUGAGUCAUCGGGGAUUAGGUAUCCUUCCUGCUAUUAACUACAUAAUAUUUAAACUUCCCCACUUGCCCAUCUCCUUUAUUUCGUAUUCAAACACCACAUGAAUUAAACUAACGUUGGUUGCUUUUAACCUGUAAUUCCUGACUGCAACAGGUAGUUAGUUGCCACCUCUUGAAAUGAACAGAUUUGACUAGAAGCUGACACUUCUUACUCCCGCUGAACUUAGUAUUUUACAUUUAUAUAAAUUCAAAAAGCAAAAUCAUACCUUUCUUAUCAAUGGGCCCUCUUUGUCCAUUGAUAACAUAAUAUUGCAAUAUAAACAAAAAGUAUUUGUACCAUACCUCAGAAAACAAAUUAGAUUACUAUUAGUGCAAAACAGGGGAAAAGUAGAAAAAUGUUAUUGUAAAGAGACUAUCACCCACUUCAAGGGAUUUAUCAGGUAACUGCCUGUGUAAGUUACAAAGACAAUGCUAAUCUAUAACUAGUGUAUACCUAGAUGAGCCGCCAGGACAUUUGUCUAAUGGCAGAUGGGGUAAUUGGACUCCACAUCUUCAACUUAGGCACAUGGAAAACAGCAUCCCUAAAAGUUGCCUGGGGAUGACCAGUACUGAGCCAACCAGCUUAGUGGAACUGUUACGAGAGAGAAACUUCAGAGCCAAGGAAUUUCUUGGCAGAGCCUCACAUUCUGCCUUAGAAUCAUGAAAAGUUAGAUCUAGAAGGUAACAGAGAUCAUUUAAUCCACUGCCCUUAUUUUACGGUGAAAAACUGAAGGCCAGAGAAGUUAAGGAGUUUGCCUAAGGUCUCACACUCGUAGUUAGUGACAGAUUCAGAGCUAGAACUAGAUCAUCCUGACUGCAUUUCAGUAGUCUUAGAGCUGGCCGACAAAUCUGACAACUCACAUUGAACCCAUGUUCCAAAAGGUAUUUUAUAUUGAGCUUAUGAACACCGCUUUUUAAAUUUAUGUUAUUUAUUUAUUUAUUUAUUUAUUAUAUUUUAAGAUCUGGGAUACAUGUGCAGAACAUGCAGGUUUGUUACAUAGGUAUACAUGUGCCAUGGUGGCUUGCUGCACCCAUCAAUCUGCCAUCCUGUUUUAAGCCCCACAUUCAUUAGGUAUUUGUCCUAAUGCUCUCCCUCCUGUUGCCCCCCAUCCCUUGACAGGCCCCCGUGUGUGAUGUUCCCCUCUCUGCGUCCAUGUGUUCUCAUUGUUCACCUCCCACUUUUGAGUGAGAACAUGCGGUGUUUGGUUUUCUGUAUGAACACCCCUUUCACAGAAAAUUAGGCAAACAGGUUGGAAUAUUUAGAAUAGAAAACAUUUAUUAUAAAGUCACAAGAAAUACCUGUGUAGACUUGCUGACUGGAAGUAUUUGGCUUCCGUAAGACAAAGAAGAGUCUUAGUCAUCUGGUUAAAGUUAAAAACGAUUGUGUCACCAGGCUGAAAGCAGACAUGCUGUGGAAGCAGUAGGCUGAAAUUAGAACUGAAUACAAGAGUUUAGAGAAAAUUGAAUUUGGAGCUAUCUCACAACACUGGGAGUUAUUCUGUUUUUGUUUGCUUUUAAUAGGCACACAAAAAAGAAUAGUGACUACAAUGAACUCCUUGUGUAGCCCCACCAGACCCCAUUUUCUUCCCUCCCCACUGAAUUUGGUGCUUAUAUUUCCAUACCUAUUCAUGUGGUUUUCCUAUAGGUAAAUGUAUCCCUAAGUGAUGUUUAGCAUUAUUUUCAUAUUUUAAGCUACAUAAAUGCUAUCAUAUUGUAUAUAUGUGUCUACAACUUGCAUUUUUUUUUUUGCUUAAUACUACAUUUUUGAGAUUUAUCCUAUUGAUAAAUAGGAUUUCUCUAACUAAUUUAUUUUAUUUUUUGGAGAUGAGGUCCCGCUAUGUUACCCAGGCUGGAAUGCAGUGGCAGUUCACAGGCACAAUCAUAGCACAAUGUGGCCUUGAACUCCUGGACACAAGUGACCUCUUGCCUCAGGCUCCUGAGUAGCUGGGGACUACAGGCCCCAGCCACUGCACCAGGCCAGCUAAUUCAUUUUAACUGCUUUAUGGUGUUCCAUUGUAUGAAUGUUUCAACAUUUAGCUAAUCUCCUAUUGAUUGACAUCUAGUGAGUUUCCAGUUUUUUGAUUUGCUUUGUUUCAUUUGCUGUUUUAUUUUAAUGUUGCUACUGUAAACAUGUUUAUAAAACUGGUGCAUGUGUGAAAGAGUUUGUCUAGUAACAUUUACAAGGUCUCAGUGUGUGUGUGCAAAUCUUGAAUUUAGCAAGAAGAUCUCAAAAUAGCAGGUUAUGAGACUAACACAAGGACUGUGUAUUUUUAGAGUUUUAAUUUUUUGUGAAUCUGAAGAGUGUAAAAUACUGUUGCCUUCUGGUUUUAAUUUCUCUGAUUCCUUGUGGGGCUGAGUACCUUUCCAUGUGUUCACAGACAAUUUGGAUCUCCUCUUCUCCCUAGCUCACUUUUCAGAUGAGCUGCUGAACUUUUUAUUGUUCAUUCUGAAAAAUGUUCUAUAGUCAUUAUGUAAAUCCUUAUUAUAUGCAUUGCCAAUAUCUUCUCCUAAUCUGGAGCUUGACUUUUCACUUUUAUAAUGAUAUAUUUUCAUGAACAUAUUUAUCAAUCUUUUAUUUUUUAUUUAUACUUAUUAUUUCUUUAAAACAUCAUUUUUUCACUCUAAGGUCAUAAGAUAUUCCCCAAUAUUUUUCUUUAGUUUUUUUAAAGUUUUAUUUUUUUACAAUCUUCAAGUCUUUUAUGUGCCAGGAAUUAACUUGUGUGUAGUGUGAGGUCAGGAGCUAGUUUUAUUUUUUUCUACAUCGACAAGCAAUUGUUUAGAAACCAUUAAUUGAAUAUUACAUUUCUUCCCCACAGUUGGGUAAUGGCACUUUCAUCAUAUAUCCUGGACUCUCUAUCAGUCAGGUUAUUAUUCCUGUGCCUUAUUAUACCAUAUUAACUACUAUAUCUUUAUGGUAAGUCUCAAUAUCUGGAAAGCCCCUAUUUGUCAAGUGGAUGCAAUGGGAGCUAGAUGGAUUUGCACUAUCCUUCUUGAAUACCAUCCAAGAGGUAUGAAUACUGUGGGGAAGGAAACCCAGAAGGAUGUUAUCUUAGCCCUUUUGUGUUGCUAUAAAGGAAUACUUGAGGCUGUGUAAUUUAUAAAGAAAAGAGGAUUAUUUGGCUCACAGUUCUGCAGGCCUUAUAAGAAGCAUGAUCCAGCCUGACCAACAUGGUGAAACCCUGUCUCUACUAAAAAUACAAAAAUUAGCCGGGCAUGGUGGUGCGCCUGUAGUCCCAGCUACUCAGGAGGCUGUGGCAAGAGAACUGCUUGAACCUGGGAGGUGGAAUUUGCUGAACCAAAAUCAUGCCACUGCACUCCAGCCUGGGUGACAGAAUCUCAGGGAAAAAAAAAAAAAAAAGCAUGAUGCCAGCAUCUGCUUCUGGCAAGGGCUUCUGGCUGUUUCCACCAGUGGCAGAAGGGUAAGGGGAACUGGCAGAUUCAGAGAUCAUAUGGUGAGAGGGGUGGCAAGAAGUGGGAGGAGGUUCCAGGCUGUUUUUAGUGACCAGCUUUCCUGGGAACUAAUAGAGUGAGAACUCAGUACCACAAGGACAGCACCAAGCCAUUCAUGAGGCACCUGCCCCAUGACUGAGCAAAACACCUUCCAUUAGGCCCCACCUCUAACAUGGGGGACCACAUUUUAACAUGAGGUUUAGGGGGACAUGAAAACUAUAUCGGAGACUAUGGGGUCAGUCAUUGUUGCAGUAGCUGAGUGGGGAAAUGGGAAUCCUGGAACUGGAGAUCAGUGUCCCACAUCAAGGAACUGUGCUCUGUGGAGACCUGUGGGCCCUCUAAGAACUCACAUGUGUGUCUCCUGAGAGACAUCCAGGCCUUGGAUACCUGACCACAAAGGGCCUCUUGUGGUCCUUCAGUGUUAUUAAGUAGAACAACAGCAACCAGCAGAGGACUCCAGUUGCUUCCAGUGAAGUAAAAAGUCACUUUCUCUGAAAGUGGAGUUAAGAACACAAUUCUCCUUACAAUGGCUGGACGUGCUGGCUCAUGCUUGUAAUCCUAGCACUUUGGGAAACUGAGAUGGGCAGAUAACUUGCGGCCAGGAGUUCGAGACCAGCCUGGCCAACAUGGUGAAACCUUGUCUCUACUAAAAUACAAAAAUUAGCAGGGUGUGGUGGCACAUGCCUGUGGUCCCAGCUACUUGGGGGACUGAGGCAUGAGAAUCCCUUGAACCUGGCAGGUGGAGGUUGCAGUGAGCUGAGAUCACACCACACACUUCAGCCUGGGCAACAGAGCGAGACUCCAUGACAGAAAGAGAGAGAGAGAGAGAAAGAAAGAAAGAAAAUUCUUCUUACAAUAACAGCAAAAAGAAUAAAACAGGAAUAGAUUUAGCAAAAGAAGUACAAGACUUGUACACUGAAAACUGUUGAAAGAAGUUAAAGAAGACCAAACAAAAUCCCAGCCAGCUUCUUUGUACAAAUUGACAAACUAAUCCUACAAUUAAUAUGGAAAUGCAAGAGACCAAGAAAAGCCAAACUAUUUUGGAAAAAAAAAAUAACAAAGUUCCUGGAGGACUCACACUUUCUAAUUUCAAAGCUACAAUAAUCAAAACUUACUACAAACCCAAAAUAAUCAAAACGGCAUGGUAUUGGCCUACAUAUAGACAUAUUGACCAAUGGAAUAGAAUUAAGAGUUUAUAAAUAAACCCAUACAUCUGUGUUGAAUUGAUUUUCAACCAGGGUGCCAAUUCGGUGAGAAACAAACAUCCUUUCAACAAAUGGCUCUAGGACAACUGGAUAGCUACAUGCAAAAGAAUGAAGUUAGACCCCUUGCCUCACACCAUAUGUAGAAAUCUACAUGAAACUAAAACUGCUUUAAAAAAUAGUCUAUUUAUUUAGAAACAGGGUCUUGCUCUGUCACCCAGGCUGGAGUACUCUGACACAACAAUAGCUCACUGCAGCUUCAAACUCCUGGGCUCAAGUGAUGCUCCUGCCUCAGCCUCCUGAUAGCUAGGAUUACAGACAUAUGCCACCAUGCCCAGCUAUUAUUUAAUUUUUUGUACAGACCAAGACUGGGUCUUGCCAUGUUGCCCAGGCUGGUCUCAAACUGCUGGGCUCAAGUGAUCCUCCCACCUCGGCCUCACAGCACACUGCUGCAAAUUCCAUGAGAUGGGUGAAAAACUAUGAGUUCCCAACAUGUGAGAAGGGGGAAACCUGCCUCUGAACACACAUCUCCACUGGGGAACCUCAAAACCCAGAUUAUGGAAGAAGGAUUUAACCUUGCCUAGAGCUGAAAUGGAUUUAGUAUAAAAUAUAAAAGUAGAAAUAGUAGCAGGAAGAGCCUUGUAGGCGCUCCCAUUCUCCAGCUUGGGCCAGGGAAGCCAUCCCUGACUGUAUCUCACCGAGGCCAUUGAGGAAGACAGUUGGCAGAAUUUGGGCAGGGUCGCAGGGUGAAAUAAGCUUCCAACUGAACUGUGUAAUAAUUUUGACUGGGCGCAAACUCUGUCGAGCAGAAAUCGGGGGUGAAAGUGAACUGCUGCAGAAAGGAGCAUAGGAGCCACAGCUGACAGUGUGGGCAGACAGGGAGGGGCAAGGCCUGAAAGCCAUGCUUGCUUUCUUAGUGGGGAAACUUAUACCCUGGGGCUAGGUCUGAGUCCUGCACACCAGCUGCCUGGAGAUAAACUGUGCUGUUAGCGGGGCACAGUGGGAGUGAAACUGGCCUUGCCAACUGUGUGGUAGCUGGGUGAGCCCUGUGGCUACUUACUUUCCCCCACUUCCCUGGUGACAGAGGCGCCAUAAUCCACACUGGAACAUAACCCCAUUUGCCUGAGAAUCAGCCCCCUAUCCCCCACAGUGGCUGUGGCAAAAAGAGUCUGAGCUCAGACCUGCCUAAUCCUGCCCCAACCUGAUGGUAUUUCCCUACCCAUCCCAGUGCCCAGUCACAAAAGACAAACUCUUGGGAGCUUUAUGGCCCUACUUAUCACAUGAGAAACCUGAACACUUAUCCUGACCAACUUAGGGCAAGCUUAUAUCCCCCUUCUACUAUCACAGCUGGUGCUCUCCUGAACAUACCACCUCCUGGCUGGAGGCCAACCAACUCAAGAUAUGACAGCAACUCAUGACAAAAUAACACUGCUCCAAGGAAGGAAAAAACAGCUAACUCCACUAUCUGCAACAUCCUGGCUAAACAGAGGUCCUGUCCAUGUGGCAACAUCACUGCUAUCAUAACCAGCAUUUGAGAAAGCCAGCACACUAAACAUCUACAACCAAGGCUUCUCAUAGAGUCUAUGUCACUACCCUGCCACCUCCCCCAGAGGAGGUGCUGGUAUCCAUAGCUGGGAGACCUGAAGAUGGAUUACAUCACAACACUCUUUGCAGACACUCCCCAGCAUGAUCCUGGAGCUUGGAAGCCCCACUGGAUGCCUAGACCCAGAAAAGCAAUAACAAUCACCACAGUCUGGCUCUCAGAAAGCCCCAUCCCUAAGGAAAGGGGGAGUGCACCACAUCACGGGAUCACCCUGUGAGACAAAAGAAUCUGAACAGCAGCCCUUGAGUUCCAGAUUUUUCCACUAAAAUAGUCUACCCAAUAAGAAGAAAUCAAAAACAUAAUUCAGGUAAUAUGACAAAACAAGGUUCUAUAACACCCACAAAAGACCACACUAGCUUCCUAGCAAUGGAUCCAAACCCAGAAGGAAUCUCUGAAUUGCCACAUAAAGAAGUCAGAAGGUUGAUUAUUAAGCUACUGAAGGAGAUACUAGAGAAAGGUGAAAACCAACUUAAAGAAAUGUAAAAAUCAAGCCAGGUGCGGUGGCUCACGCUUGUAAUCCGAGCACUUCGGGAAGCCAAGGCAGGUCACUUGAGGCCAGGAGUUUGAGACCAGCCUGGCCAACAUGGCAAAACCCUGUCUGUACUAAAACAAAAACAAAAAUUAGCCUGGCUUGGUGGUACAUCCCUUUGGUCCCAGCUACUCAGGAUGCUGAGGUGGAAGGAUCACUUGAACAUAGGAGGUAGAGGUUGCAGUGAGCCAAGAUCAUGCAACUGCCCACCAACCUGGGUGACAAGCAAGACCCUCUCUCAAAACAAAACAAAAAGUUAAAAAAAAAUACAGGACAUGGAUGAAAAAUUCCCCAGAGGUAUAGAUAUCAUAAAGAAAAAACAAUUGGGCCGGGCGUGGUGGCUCAUGCCUGUAAUCCCAGCAUUUUGGGAGGCCAAGGCGGGCAGAUCACCUGAGGUCAGGAGUUCGUGACCAGCCUGACCAAAAUGGAGAAAUGCUGUCUCUACUAAAAAUACAAAAUUAGCUGGGCGUGGUGGUGCAUGCCUGUAAUCCCAGCUACUUGGGAGGCUGAGGCAGGAGAAUCGCUUGAACCCAGGAGGCAGAGGUUGUGGUGAGCCAAGAUCAUGCCAUUGCACUCCAGCCUGGGCAACAAAAGUGAAACUCUUGUCUCAAAAAAAAGAAAAAAAGAAACAAUCACAACUUCUGGAAAUGAAAGACACACUUAGAGACAUACAAAAUGCACUGGAAAGUGUCAACAAUAGACUAGAACAAGUAGAAGAAAAAACUUCAGAGCUUGACAAGGCUUUUGAAUUAACCCAAUCAGACAAAGACAAAGAAAAAGGAAUUUUACAAAAUGAAGAAAGCCACCAAGAAAUUGGGGAUUAUGUUAAAUAGACAAAACUAAAAAUAAUUGGUAUUCCUGAGGAAGAAGAGAAAUCUAAAAGUUUGGAAAACUUAUUUGAGGGAAUAAUCAAGGAAAACUUCUCUGGCCUUGCUAGAGAUCUAAACAUCCAAAUAGAAGAAGCUCAAAGAACACCUGGGAAAAUCAUUGCAAAAAGAUCACCUAGGCACACAGUCAUCAGGUUAUCUAAAGCCAAAACAAAGGAAAGAAUCUUGAGAGCUGCAAGGCAAAAGCCUCAGACAACCUAUAAAGGAAAACCUAUCAGAUUAACAGCAGAUUUCUCAGCAGAAACUCUACAAGCCAGAAGUGAUUGAGGUCCUAUCUUUAGCAUCUUCAGACAAAAUAAUUGCUAGACAAGAAUUCUGUAUCCAGCAAAACUAACCUUCAUAUAUGAAAAAGAGAGAAAUUAUUUUUCAGACAAACAAAUGCUGAGAGAAUUUGUCACUACUAAGCCAGCACUACAAGAAAUGCUAAAAGGAUUUCUAAAUCUUGAAACAAAACUUCAAAAUAUACCAAAAUAGAAACUCCUUAAAGCAUACAUUUCACAGGGCCUAUAAAACAAUGAAAAACAAACAAGGUAUUCAGGCAACAACUAGCAUGAAGAAUAAAAUAGUACCUCACAUCUCAAUAAUAAAAUGAAUAUAAAUGGCCUAAAUGCUCCUCUUAAAAGAUGCAGAAUGGGCUGGGUGUGGUGGCUCACACCUGUAAUCCCAGCACUUUGGGAGGCUAAGGCAGGCAGAUCACGAGGUCAGGAGAUCAAGACCAUCCUGGCUAACACAGUGAAACCCCGUCUCUACUAAAAAUACAAAAAAAUAGGCCAGGCAUGGCAGCAGGCACCUGUAGUCCCAGCUAACCAGGAGGCUGAGGAAGGAGAAUGGUGUGAACCCAGGAGGCGGAGCUUGCAGUGAGCCGAGAUCGUGCCUCUGCACUCCAGCCUGGGCGACAGAGCGAGACUCCGUCUCAAAAAAAAAAAAAAAAAAAAAAAAUUGCAGAAUGGCAGAAUGGAUAAAAAUCUACCAACCACAUAUCUUCUGUCUUCAAGAGACUGGCCUAAUGCAUAAGGAUUCACAUAAACUUAAUGUAAAGGAGUGGGAAAAGAUAUUCCUUGCAAAUGGAAACCAAAAGUGAGGAAGAGUAGCUAUUCUUAUAUCAGACAAAACAGACUUUAAAGCAACAAGUUAAAAAAGACAAAGAGGGACAUUAUAUAAUAAUAAAAGGAUCAUUUCAACAAGAAAAUAUCACAAUCCUAAAUAUAUAUGCACCUAACACUGGAGGUCCCAAAUUUAUAAAACAAUUAUUACUAGACCUAAGAAAUGAGAUAGAUGGCAACACAAUAAUAGUCAGGGACAGCCGGGUGCAAUGGCUCACAACUGUAAUCCCAGCACUUUGGGAGGCCAAAGCAGGUGGAUCACCUGAGGUCAGGAGUUUGAGACCAGCCUGACCAACAUGGCAAAACCCUGUCUCUACUAAAAAUACAAAAAGUAGCUGGGUGUGGUAGCACAUGCCUGUAUUCCCAGCUACUCAGGAGGCUGAGGUAGGAGAAUCGCUUGAACCCAGGAGGCAGAGGUUGCAGUGAGCUGAGAUUGUGCCACUGCCCUCCAACAUGGGAGACAGAGCGAGACUCCAUUUCAAAAAAAUAAAAGAAUAGUAGUUGGGGACUUCAAUACUCCAGUGACAGCACUAGACAAGUCAUCAAGCCAAAAAGUAAACAAAGAAACAAUGGAGCUGGACAUGGUGGCUCACACCUGUAAUCUCAGCACUUUGGGAAGCCAAAGUGGGCAGAUCACCUGAGGUCAGGAGUUUGAGACCAGCCUAGCCAACGUGGUGAAACCCCGUCCCUACUAAAAAUACAAAAAUUUGCUGGGUGUGGUGGCACAUACCUGUAAUCCCAGCUAAUCAGGAGGCUGAGGCAGGAAAAUCGCUUGGACCCCAGAGGUGGAGGUUGCAGUGAGCCAAGAUCAUGCCACUGCACUCCAGCCUGGGUGACAGAGUGAGACUCUGUGUCACAAAAGGAAGGAGGGAAGGAAGGAAGGAAGGAAGGAAGGAAGGAAGGAAAAGAAUUUAAACUAUACCAUAGAACAAAUGGUCUCAACAGAUAUUUACAGAACUUCUACCUAACAACUACAGAGUAUACAUUCUUUUUAGCAACACAUGGAACAUUCUCCAAGAUAAAACAUGGUGGGCCACAAAACAUGUCUCAGUAAAUUUAAGAAAACUGAAGUAAUAUCAAGUACUCUUUCAGACCAUACUGGAAAAAAACUGGAAAUUAACUCCAAAAAGAACCCUCAAAACUAUACAAAUACAGGGAAACUUAAUAAACUGCUCAUGAAUGAUCUUUGGGUCAGCAAUGAAAUCAAGAUGGAAAUUAAAGAAUUAUUUGAACUGAAUGAUAAUAGUGACAGAACUUAUCAAAACAUCUGGCAUAUAGCAAAAGUGGUUCUAAGAGGAAAGUUCAUAGCAUUAAAUGCCUAUAUCAAAAAGUCUGAAAAAGCACAAAUAGCCAAUCUAAGGUCACACGUCAAGUAACUAGAGAAAUAAGAGCAAACCAAACCCAAACCCAGCAGAGGGAAAAAAAAUUACAAGGAUCAGAGCAGAACUAAAUGAAAUUGCAAUACAAAAAUGUAUAAAAUAUAAAUGAAACAAAAAGCUAGUUCUUUCAAAAAAAAUGAUAGACUGUUAGUGAGAUAAACCAAAAAAAGAAGGGAGAAGAUCCAAAUAACUUCACUUAGAAAUGAAACGGGAGAUAUUACUACUGAUAGCACAGAAAUAAAAAAUGAUUUAAGACUACUGUGAACACCUUUACACACACAAACUAGAAAACCUAGAGGAGAUGGAUAAAUUUCUGGAUAUAUACAAGCCUCCUAGAUUAAAUCAGGAAGAAAUAGCAACUCUGAAUAGACCAAUAACAAGUAGUGAGAUUGAAACAGUAAUGAAAAAAAAAAUGCCAACAGCAAAAAAAAGGUCCAGGACUAGAUGGAUUCACAGAUGAAUUCUAUCAGGCAUUUGAAGAAGAAUUGGUACUGAUCGUAAUGAAAUUAUUCCAAAAGAUAAACUGGAAAUCCUCCUUAAAUAAUUCUAUGAAAGCCGGGUGCAAUGGCUCAUACCUAUAAUCCCAGCACUUUGGGAGGCUGAAGCAGGCAGAUCACUUGAGGUCAGGAGUUCAAGACCAGCCUGGCCAACGUGGUGAAACCCCAUCUCUACUAAAAAUUCAAAAAUUAGCUGGGCGUAGUGGCAGGCACCUGUAAUCCCAGCUACUCAUGAGGCUGAAGCAGGAGAAUUGCUUGAACCUGGGAGGCAGAGAUUGCAGUAAGCCAAGAUUGCACCACUGCACUCCAGCUUGGGCAACACGAGCAAAACUUCGUCAAAAAAAAAAAAAAAAAAAACUCUAUGAAGCCAGUAUCACUCUAAUACCCAAACCAGGAAAAGACAUAACAACAACAACAAAAAUGCAGACCAAUAUCCCUGAUGAACAUAGAUGGGAAAAUCCUCAACAAAAUACUGGCUAACCAAAACCAACAGCAUAUCGAAAAGAUAGCACAUCAUGAUAAAGUGGGUUUUAUACUAGGGAUGCAGGGAUGGUUUAACAUAUGCAAGUCAAUAAAUGUGAUACAUCACAUAAACAGAAUUAAAAGCAAAAAUCAUAUGAUCAUCUCAAUAGAUGCUGAAAAAGCAUUUGACAAAAUCCAGCAUCCCUUUAUGAUUAAAACCCUAAGCAAAAUCAGCAUAGAAGGGACAUACCUCAAGGUAAUAACCAUCUAUGACAAACCCUCAGGCAACAUUAUACUGAACAGGGAAAGGUUGAAAGCAUUCCCCCUGAGAACUGGAACAAGACAAGGAUGCCCAUUUUUAUCACUGCUAUUCAAUAUAGUACUGGAAAUCCUAGCCAGAGCAAUCAGACAAGAGAAAGAAAUAAAGGGCAUCCAAAUUGGUAAAGAGGAAGUCAAACCAUUGCUGUUUGCCGAUGAUAUGAUUGUAUAUCUAGAAAACCCUAAAGAUUCAUCCAAAAAGCUCCUAAACCUGAUAAAUGAAUUCAGUAAAGUUUCAGGAUAUAAAAUCAAUGUACACAAAUAAGUAGCACUGCUAUACACCAGCAGUGACCAACCUGAGAAUCAAAUCAAGAACUCAACCCUUUUAACAACAGCUGUAAAAAAUAAUAUAAAAUACGUAGAAAUAUACCUAACCAAGAAUGUGAAAGAUCUCUACAAGGAAAACUACAAAAUACUGCUGAAAUAAGUCAUAGAUGACACAAACAAAUGGGAACACAUCUCAUGCUCAUGGAUGGGUAGAAUCAAUAUUGUGAAAAUGACCAUACAGUCAAAAGCAAUCUACAAAUUCAGUGCAAUUCCUGUCAAAAUACCAUCAUUAUUUUUCACAGAACUAUAAAAAUAAAAUCCUAAAAUUAAUAUGGAACCAAAAAAGAGCCCACAUAGCCAAAGCGAGACUAAGUGAGAAGAACAAAUCUGGAGGCAUCACAUUACCUGACUUCAAACUAUACUACAAGGCUAUAGUUACCAAAACAGCAUGGUACUGGUAUAAAAAUAGGCGUGUACAUCAAUGCAACAGAAUAGAGUACCCAGAAAUAAAGCCAAAUAUUUAAAGCCAACUGAUCUUCGACAAAGCAAACAAAAACAUAAAGUGGAGAAGGACACCCUGUUCAACAAAGGCUGCACCCUAACCACAAAUGGUCAAAUGGUGCUGGGAUUGUUGGCAAGUCACAUGUAGAAGAAUGAAACUUAAUCCUCAUGUCUCACCCUAUACAAAAAUCAACUCAAAAUGGAUCAAAGACUUGAAUCUAAGACCUGAAACCAUAAAAAUUCUAGAAUAUAAUAUUGGAAAAACUCUUCUAGACAUUGGCUAAGGUAGAGUUAAUGACUAAGAACCCAAAAGCAAAUACAACAAAAACAAAAAUAAAUAGAUGAGACCGAAUUAAACUAAAAAGCUUCCGCAGAGAGAAAAAAAAAUCAGCAGACUUGGCUGGGCAUGGUGGCUCACGCCUAUAAUCUCAGCACUUUGGGAGGCCAAGGUGGGUGGAUCACCUAAGGUUAGGAGUUCGAGACCAGCCUGGCCAACAUGGCGAAACCCCAUCUCUACUAAAAAUACAAAAAUUAUCUGAGCAUGGUGGUGCAUGCCUGUAAUCCCAGCUACUUGAGACGCUGAGGCAGGAGAAUCACUUGAACCUGGGAGACAGAGGUUGCAGUUAGCCGAGAUCGCAUCACUGCACUCCAGCCUGGGCGACAGAGCGAGACCCUGUCUCAAAAAUAAAAUAAAAUAAAAUAAAAUAAGGCCAGGCAUGGUGGCUCAUGCCUGUAAUCCCAGCACUUUGGGAGGCCAAGGUGGGUGGAUCACAAGGUCAGGAGAUUGAGACCAUCCUGGCUAACAUGGUGAAACCCCAUCUCUACUAAAAAAUACAAAAAAUUAGCCGGGUGUGGUGGCAGGCGCCUGUAGUCCCAGCUACUCGGGAGGCUGAGGCAGGAGAAUGGCAUGAACCCUGGAGGCAGAGCUUGCAGUGAGCUGAGAUCACGCCACUGCACUCCAGCCUGAGCGAGAGUGCAAGACUCUGUCUCAAAAAAAAUAAACAUAAAAAUAAAAUAAAAUAAAAAUAAUCAGCAGAGUAAACAGAGAACCCCCAGAGUGGGAGAAAAUUUUCACAGACUAUUCAUCCAACAAAGGACUAAUACCCAGAAUCUACCAGGAACUCAAACAAAUCAGCAAAAAAAAAAAAUCCCAUCAAAAAGUGGGCUAAGGACAUGAAUACACAAUUCUCAAAAGAAGAUAUACAAAUGUCCAACAAACAUGAAAAAAAUGCUCAACAUCACUAAUUAUCAGGGAAAUGCAAAUCAAAACCACAAUGCAAUACCACCUUACUCCUGCAAGAAUGGCCAUAAUUUAAAUAUCAAAAUAUAAUAGAUGUUGAUGUGGAUGUGGUGAAAAAGGAACACUUUCACACUGCUGGUGGGAAUGUAGUACAAACACUAUGGAAAACAGUAUGGAGAAUCCUUUGAGAACUAAAAGUAGAAUUACCAUUUGAUGCAGCAGUCCCACUAAUGGGUAUCUACCCAAAGGAAAAGAAGUCAUUGUAUGAAACAGACUUACACACAUAUGUGCAUAGCAAUACAAUUUGCAAUUGCAAAAAUAAGGAACCAGCCUAACCCUGAUUUCCAGUGGAAAUCCUAGGAAGUUAUGAUGUUAGUUCUGGGCUUGUAAAAGAAAAACAACAGCAAACAAACAAACAAAAAAGAAAAACCUUGGAAGCAAGUAAUUUGAGAUGGUUUAUGUCAGUUUUUGUGAUGAAAACUAUUUUCUAAUGUUUAGAAAGAUGUUUCCACAAUUUUUUGUUUCUUAACAGAACUAAAUAUUUAGCUUUUCUGUAUCAUAUAGAUGACUCAGACAUUUUAUGAUUAGCUAUUACCCAGGUUGACAUAACAUGACUCUAAGUUAUUGAAAAAGAUUUUUUAAACAAUGUAAAGCUCAUUUAUAAACUUUUAUUUAUUCUCUUUUGCAAGUAAACCUUAUGGUAAAUAAUAAAAAACAUAAAAAAGUAAAUAAAGUUUUAUUUAUUCUUAGGAAGUAUGCUUGAGUAGCUCAUUAAACAAAGUUAGCUACUGAAACUGUCUUUGCAGGGCUGAGCAGUGGCUCACGCCUGUAAUCCCAGCUCUUUAGGAGGCCCAGGCAGGUGCAUUACCUGAGGUCAGGAGUUAGAGACCAGCCUGGCCAACAUGGUAAAACUCUUUCUCUACUAAAAAUAUAAAAAAUUAGCCAGGUGUGGUGGUGGGUGCCUGUAAUCCCAGCUACUUGGGAGGCUGAGGCAGGAGAACCACUUGAACCCAGGAGGUGGAGGUUGCAGUGAGCUGAGAUCACAUCAUUGCACUCCAGCCUGGGCAACAAGAGCAAGACUCCAUCUCAAAAAAAAAAAAAAAAGAAAAGAAAAGAAAAAAAGAAACUGCCUUCGCAAAAUUAUAACUGAGACAGUGAAAGAAAUCUAACUUAACUGACCAUCUUGCCUCUAGCAUAUAAGCUGUCUUUGUUCAUUCCAUCUUGCCUAGGGACUAGAUUGUCUUUGUAGGACUAACAUUUGACACAAGAUUAGAAAUUAUGAUUUAGGAGUCAUGCAGCUGGAGGCUAAAAGAUUAUGACCCUCCCUAAAUUUCUCUCAAGAUCAGUGCUUGAGAUAUUUUGCAGACCCUGCACUUGAUGGAUCAGCUGGCUCCACCCAGAUUGAUAAACUGGCUCAUCUGAUCUUGUAGCCCCUGCCCAUGAACUGACUCACUGCAAGAAGACAGCUUCAACUCCCUAUGAUUUCAUCUCUGACCUGACCAAUCAGCACUCCUGGCUCACUGGGUUCUCCCCACCCACUAGGUUGUCCUUAAAAAUUCUGCUCCCAAAAUGCUCGGGGAGACUGAUUUGAGUAAUAAAACUCUGGUUUCUGCACAGCUGGCUCUGUGUGAAUUACUCCUUCUCUAUUGCAAUUCCCCUGUCUUGAGAAAUCAGCUCUGUCUAGGCAGUGGGCAAGGUGAACCCAUUGGGUGCUUACACCAUCAUCUUCAGUUUUUUCUUUGUAAUCAUGUUUACAUUCCACAAAUGUUAGGAACUUAACACUUUAGCCAGAACUCUAAAGUUAAAUACACGGGUAUUUUGUUAAUCAGAGGACACGGUUGUUUUCAGUAAAUCAACAGUAUUAAACUAGUCUUAUUUACCAACAAUUUACACAAAUCAUUUGAACUAAAAGGCAUUUGAGUUAGCUUAUAUUUUUCUCAUAAAAUAUAUAAUUUAAGUGCUUACUUUUUCUUUAACCCAAUUAAUUAGAGUUUUCGUGUAUUUUGGUAAUGAAAUAUCACAUCCACAUGGCAUAUAUGAACAUAUAUACAUACAGACAUACAAACAAAAGCAGAGUCUGUAGCUUGAUAAACUUCUUCAUUUGUCAGGGGGUUUUUUUGUUUUGGUUUUGGUUUUGGUUUUCUUUUUCUUUUUUUUUUUUUUUGAGAUGGAGUCUUGCUCUGUUGCCCAGGCUAGAGUGCAGUGGUGUGAUCUAAGCUCACUGCAACACCCACUUCCUGGGUUCAAGCGAUUCUCCUGCCUCAGCCUCCCGAGUAGCUGGGAUUACAGGCGCCUGCCACUGUGCCUGGCUAAUUUUUGUAUUUUUAGUAGAGAUGGGGUUUUGCCAUGUUGGCCAGGGUGGUCUCAAACUCCUAACCUCAUGAUCCGCCCACCUUGGCCUCCCAAAGUGCUGGGAUUACAGGCGUGAGCCACCGCACCCAGAAACCAUUUGCCAGUUUUUAAAUAGUUUCUCUCCCCUCUUUAGACUAUGGAGCCCUAAACAACUGUUAGCAACAUAACCCUUAAUUUGCACUUCCAAAGACAUGACUCUUAAGUGAAAAUUUACAUCCCAAAGGCACAGCACUUAGAUCUAAGCACCAUUCUCUGCUGAGAUGAAGAAGGAUAUGGGUAAAGAUUCAGUCGAAGUGAGAUUGCCAGGAAAAGUAUCUUAAACAAAGGCAGGGAUUGUUAUGUAAACUUUAAACCAAUGUCUUCCCCAUCUUAAGAGUUUUGUGGGUUUUUUGUUUGUUUUUUUUUAGACAAGGUGUCAUUCUGUUACCUGGACUGGGGUGCAAUGGUGCAAUUUUGGCUCGCUGCAGUCUCCACUUCCCUAAGGCCACAAGAUUUGAAGUUAGGAUAAUACAUGUUACACUGUUAACUUUUAGCAAACUUUACUUUUGUUGAAAACCAUGUAAGUUUGGGAUUUUUAAUUAUCCUUUGCUAUUACUAAGACCUCUUUAGUCCAAAUCAACUUGGAAUUAGUAUAGAUGGUUCCUUCCUGGUUCUGUAAGUACUUUAAGGCUUGGCUGAGUGCAGAGCUCACACGUUUGAGCAGACUGAUUAUUAGGCAAUUUUCCUAACUCUAUUUCUACGAGAGUUUCCCUAUCAAUUACUGAAUACUCGUUGUGUCUUUUUCCCUCAAUCAGCCAGGAGAAACCAUCCAUCAUCCUGUCCUGAAGGGAGUUCCUCCUAGGUCUGGUCGGACCUUUGUAUGGUAGUUAAUUAAGAUUUAGAUCCCCUGUUAGGAAACCUGCAGGGUUAAGGGAAUUAUCAGUGGUUAAUGUUAAAUCAUAUUUUUCUAACAGAAUGGCCUCAUAUGUUAAUAUUCUUAAGUCAGUAAGCUGCCUUUUUGCUUUUUUGACUUAGGAUAGUUCUGACCUGGUGAGGUGUGCUCACAAUGAGGUUUCCUCUAAAAGUUAUUUUUGUACUUUCUUCAGUUAGCAAAGCAGUUGCUGCUACAGAUUGAAUGCAUUUGGGCCAUCCCCGGGUUACUGGGUUAAGGAUUUUUGAUAGGAAGGCUACUGGUUGUCAGUGGCCUCCGUGCUUUUGGGAUAUGCCCUUGUUUACACUGACAACAAGAUGGAAUAGCUACUUGAGGGUAAAUCUAGGACAGGGGCAGUUACUAAUAGAUGUUUUAACCUUUCCACCUGUUGGAUUUCUGGUAAUUGCCAAAUGAGGAGGGGGUUUUGCCCAUCUUGCGUGAGCUUUUUGUAUAAGGGUUUUGUUUUUAGGGCAUAAGAGGCUAUCCAUAGAUGACAGUAUCUGACUUAUCUUAAAGUUUUCUAAGUUCUUGUUUGGUCUCCGGCAGAGGCAAGGAUAUGAUACUUUCAGUCCAUUCAAGCUCAAUUUGCCAUUUACCUUUGCUAAUUAAAUGACUUGUUCUAAUAUUUGACUAAAUAAAUUUGAAGACUUCGUAAACCCUUGAGGUAAGACUGUCUAUCUGUAUUGCUAUUUUCAAUCAGAGUGAGGGUCUUCUCACUCAAAGGCAAAUAGGUCCUGGCUGUCUUCCGUGAACGGACAAACCCAGAAGGCAUCUUUUAAAUCUAUUACCAUAACAACAGGGUGGGUAGUUUGGACUUGAUUAAUAGCUCUAAGGUCUUGCACUAACUGGUGUGACCCGUCUGGCUUCUUUACAGGCAGUAUUGGAGUUUUAUAGGGUCACGGAGAAGACUUUCAAUUAUAGGUUUUACAUUUACCCUGGCUUUUAAAGGAAUAGGGUACAUUGCUUUCUCUUUACUACUUCUAGCUCUCUCUCUCUCUCUCUCUCUCUCUCUGACUCUCUGUCUCUUUCUCUCUCUGACUCUCUUAAGUUUUUUUUUUUUUAUCCUUCUAAUAUUUUAACAUUAGUCCUGGGGGAUUAUUGGGGGAAUAUUAUUGUUGCUAGCUUUAUUUCUUUUAUCCUGUACCUUACUUGGGGUAUUUCCCAUUUUUGGGGUGAGGCUCAAUUUCCCUUACCAGAAAUAUCUCACCUUUUGGAGGGAGGCUCAAUUUCCCUUACUGGCAAUGUCUCACCUUUUGGGGUGAGGCUCAAUUUCCCUCACUGGAAAUGUCUUGCCUUUUAGGGUGAGGCUCAAUUUCCCCUACUGGAAAUGUCUCACCUUUUGGGGUGAGGCUCAAUUUCCCUCACUGGAAAUGUCUCACCUUUUGGGGCGAGGCUCGAUUUCCCUUACCGGAAAUAUCUUGCCUCUUUUUAAUCCCCAAGAUACCCCGACCAAGGAAUACUUCACUGCCCCCUGUGGUUUUUCUUUCCUUAGUCCCGGCUAAGGAAUGCUUUACCACCCCUACGGCUUCUUUUUCCUUGGUAUGUCCCAACCAAGGAAUGUUUCACUGCCCCUGCAGUUUUUCUUUCCUUAGUCCCUACCACCAAAGGAAUACUUUACCAGCUCCUCCGCUGUUUCCUUCUUUGGCUUGUGCGUGAUGUUGUCUGGUCCACGUGGUAUGUAAGGAUCCUUUACCCCAGGUCACCGGCCAGUUUCUUUCCACAUUGCUGAGAGUCUGGGUUUAUUCAUCACACCAGGUAGGUCUCGGUUCCUCACCCCUGAGGCUGCCGAAAUGAGGCGGCGGGGCACCUCCUUACAAGAGAGGACUGGAGACCGCCCAGAGGAGAGUGGGUCCCUGCAUGGGCCACCAAACUGUUAGAAAUGCAAAAUGCUUGUUCCCUGGUGCUGCAAAGAAAUAGCACUCAAACAUACAUUUAAUUUUCUCAGCAAGGCAAUUUUUACUUUCUGCAGAAAGGGUGCUCCUCACAGAUGGAACAAUGGUGAGAUCAUACCAGGACAGGGGAGGGGCAGGAGUUCUUAUUCCUGACGCUAGUAGCCCCUACUGCUGUGUUGUUGCCCUAAUGGCUAGGAUUGGACCGCACAGUCUAAGCUAAUUCUGAUUGGCUAUGUUAAAAAGAGCAGGAGUAUGAGCUGGAGUGGUGAGGUGAGUAGUUUGGUGGGAAGGGCAGUUAGGAACAGGUAACUAAAGGUGACUUAGGUCAGAGCAGGUGACCACCAAGGGAACAGCUGUGAACUACUGAUUUGGACUGGCGGGAAAGUUGUUUACUGAAACUAGAGGCAAGGAGUUGAAGAGAACUAGGAAGUUAAACUUUAAAAUGAAGAAUCAAAGAAUAAGAGAGCUGGACAUACUGACAUACUGAUUCUUUGAAGAGAAACUUAGGGUUCACUAUAUUUAACAGGAGGCCGAGACAGGAGGAUCGCGUGAGCCCAGGAGUUUGAGACCAGCAUGGGCAAAAUAGUAAAACCCCAUCUUAUUAAAAAAAAUUUUUUUUUUUGAAAUGGGGUCUCUCUCUGUUGCCUGGGCUGGAGUGCAUUGGUGCUAUCUCCACUCCCUCAACCUCUCAGCCAAUCCUCCCACCUCAGCUUCAUGAGUAGCUGGGACUACAGGCGUGCACCACCCUGCCCAGCUAAUUUUCGUAUUUUUUUGUAGAGACAGGUUUUCAUCAUGUUGCCCAGCCUGGUCUCGAACUCCUGAGCUCAGGCAAUCCUCUCACCUCGGCCUCCCAAAGUGCUGGGAUUACAGGCAUGAGCCACCACACCCGACCUUAAAAAAAAUUUUUUUUAAUAUGUGGAAAGCAGACACGAGUAGAAGCCAGCACAACUAGCUAACUUCCCCUAGUGAUAGAGGCAGGAGACAGGCAAAUGCCAUCUAUGUCAUUAUAUAUAGGGAGCUUGCCUAAACAUGCCCACAGUGGAAAAUUCCAUCCCUUAACACAUGCACAGUAAGAGAAAUAAAUCAAUGCAGAGUGGCCAUUUCCUUUAUUGCCUUCUGAACAUUUACCUUUCUAGUGUCCUUUCUUUUUGCAUCUCGCACAUUAAUCUCUAGCCUCAUCCGGCUCUUGAAUCCUUGCCUAACUUGACUUCUUUCACAUCUACAUCCACAUCCAUGUCCUCUCACGGUGCUAAUUUUUCUUUUUAUGAGAGCUGUUGCUAACAGAUUGGCUUUUUUUUCUUAAGUCUUUAAUUUACUUUUUUUUUUUUUUUUUUUUUUUUCUGAGUUCUCCUGCUCCUACGGCCAGCUGGCGGGGCUGGGCAACGGCACGGGCCUUGCCCCCGCGCACUGCUGUCUGUCUCUCCUGUUUUCUUCUGAUUCUCUUUUUCACACUUACUCUUAGUGUUUCUUUUUCCUUUGCUCUUUCCCAGUUUUGUUCCUUGGUCACAGUUAACAUACACCUUGGUGGCCACUUUUAUAGACUAGGUGGUAUUCAUGCCUGCAGCUUCUGCUUGAUGUUACCCUGGGCUUGCUUUACAAAUAAAAUAUUCAGUGCAUACUGAUUUUCAGCAGCCUCAGGGUUAAGUGGGGUAUAAAGCCAGAAUGCUUUAUAGAGUCUCUUAUAAAACUGACUUAGGCUCUUGUCAGCUCCUUGAAGGAUUUCUGAAAUCUUUUUUAUAUUACUUGCUUUUUUCUACCAACUUUUAGACUCUGCAGAAGUGCUUCUCAGUACCUCUGCAAAUGCUGAAGCUGAAUUGCAUUCUCUGGGUCUUUUUUUCCCUUUUUUCUAGAGUUUAACAGGCUCUUUUCUUUAUACAAUUUUUUAUGCACUUGGAGGGUUAAACAGGCAUACCCAGAGUCAGUGUAAAUGUUUACAAGUCUUACCUUCACUGAGUUCUAAGGCCCGAAUUAAAGCAAUGAGCUCAGCUUAACAACAGUGUCCAGGGUUACCACCGCAUAUUCUGCACCUCUCUCUCCUUGGGGGUUGAUGAAGCUGUUCCCGUCCACGUAUAGCUCCCAGUCUAUUGAUGCCCAAGGCUGGUCCUGGAGGUUAGGUCUGCUAGAGUAAAUUUGAGUCCAACACCUCUACACAGUUAUGCUCGACAGGGCUUUAGCUGCCGGGAGCAAGGUGGUGGGUUCAGGGUGUUUCCAGUUUAGUAGAUCAAUGGUUGAAAAGGGCUGAUAGAUGAAAGUCUGUUGUCCCCCCCAACCCCCCGGAUGUGGGCCUGGUCAUUAUAAUAGACAGGUCCUCGUGUCUCCCUGAGAGGCAUUUGCAUAGCCUCUCAGAUCUGAGAUGGCCCACUUGACUAUCUUGAUUUCCUUCCUUGGUCUCUCGAAGCUCCGAUCCUCCCCUUCAAGGUAAAACCUGGAGCGUGUUAGCUCCUGAAUCUCAUUUCUGAGGGGGUUGUUGGCCUCAGUAAAGCGGGGUAGGCUGGGAUAUAUGGAGAAAGAAUUUCUGUUAUCUCUGGCGGCUCCCGCAAAACUGGCUUCUCUUGCUGUUUCUGGGACUCCCUUUUUAACUCUGUCUGCCGGCGAAGCUGCUCUUUUACUUUUGGCUUUUUUGCAAUAAGCUGUUCAACAGGGCUAAAUUUAUGCUGGUUUUGCCUAUAUUAUAUUUAACCAUGAGUCAAUAUAAAGGAAUUUGAUCUAGGUACACUGGCUGCCCUCUGACCCCUGUCACCACCUUAAAUACAUGGCCAAUAGUUCCCUGUCUAUAGUUCCUUCGGUGGGCCAUCUAACACCAAAAGAGGGCAAUUCUAAUUCACACAGAGUUCUUAACCUCUAGGGGGUUAACUUAACUCUAUAAUCUCCCACAGAACCUUUCCUAAGGUUCUGUAACAUGCAUUUUAAUAGAGUAAGUUUUGAUGCUUUGAUGACUUUCCUUUUAUUUUUCUUUUUGAAAUUUUUUAACAUAGUUCCUAGCGGAGUGGGCUUACUUUGUGUCUGACCUAUUUUUCUCUUGAAACAAAAAAAAUUCACACUACAAGAAGGAAAGGGUAAAAGGUCACUCACUCGUCUAAUUCACACUAAAUCAAAAUCAAAACUAAAACCAAAGUGUUGUUAAAGGCACACCUGUUCGUCAAGCAAUUUAUGCCAAGUCAAAAUCAGAACCAAAACCAAAGUACCAAUAAAGGCAUGCCUGUUUAUCAAGCAAUUCAAGUCAAGUCAAAAUCAAGGUUAAAACCAAAGUAUCAAGCAAUUCAAGUCAAGUCAAAAACAAAAACCAAAGUGCCAGUACAGACACGCUGUGGGUGAUCAGGCCACGCUUCCACUCAAACGGAGUGGGCAAGUUCCAAAGACCAGUCUUACCAAGUUUCAGAUGUCCGGACUCCAAGUGCCUGUUCCUUCCCGGUGUUCAGCCACUGCGUUGAUCCUCCACCGGGGCCUGCCACGCGCUGCUCUGGCAAGGCGUUCCACUGGGGCAAAUGCCUACCCGGGAGCACUCUCAGGAUCCGCAUUGCUCAAGCCGGAGUCCCCCACAGGGAUGCUCUACAGAGCAUGCAUAAGCUGCCUAAGGGGCUACCUCGACCGUCAGUUAAUCACCUCAUUUCCCGGUCAGGGAACCAAGAAAUGUAGCAGGACGAGCCACAGACGAAACUCCUCAGACACCGAAUUAAAGAAGGAAGAGGUUUUUAUUCGGCCGGGAGCAUCAGCAGACUCAUGUCUUAAGAGCCGAGCUCUCCGAAAAAGAAAUUCUUGGCCUUUUUAAAGGCUUACAACUUUAAGGGGUCCAUGUGAAAGGGUCGUGAUAAAUCGAGCAAGCGUGGGAAAUGUGACUGGAGGCUACAUGCAUCAGCUAACAGAACAAAAAGUUUUACAGCGCUUUUUUCAUACAGUGUCUGGAAUUUACAGAUAACACAGGUAGUUUAGGUCAGGGGUUGAUGUUACUAUUAUUACUUUUUUUAACUCCUAGGGCCAGGUGGUGGUGCCAAGGUUGUCUGGCUAUUUAUCUUACUUUUGUUUUUUUCCAACUUUUUGCUUUUUAUCUCCUCCUGUCUUGUGAACUAGGCAAGGUGGGGGGAGGAGGGCAGCAGGAGUAGUAGUGGUCUCCUUCCUUAAGACUAAGGGCCAGCAUGCACACUGGAAGAAUGGGGUGGAGCCACCAGGAAUUCAUGCCUAAUGCUGGAGAGGAGCCACGCCUUUUCAACUUGCAUGUGAUGGCCUUGUAUUCAAUUUGUGAGGUGGAUACCUGCAUAUAGGACCCUCCUUUUGCUUAAUAAAUUCCGCCCUCCUCACCUUUCUUUUCUUUUUUUUGAGACUGAGUCCUGCUCUGUUGCCCAUGCAGGAGUGCAAUGGCAUGCUCUUGGCUCACUGCAAAACUCUGCCUCCCAGGUUCAAGUGAUUCUCCUGCCUCAGCCUCCUGAGUAGCUGGGACUACAGGCAUGUACCACCAUGCCUGGCUAAUUUUUUGUAUUUUUAGUAGAGAUGGGGUUUCACUAAUUUGCCCAGGCUGGUCUUAAACUCCUGACCUCAAGUAUCUGCCCACCUCAGCCUCCCAAAAUGCUGAGAUUACAAGUGUGAGCCACCGCACCUGGCACCAUCCUCACCUUUCAAUGUUUCUGCGUGCCUAAUUUUUCUGGAUUUAGCUGAACCAAGGAACAAAAAAUUCUGCAUCAUUAGUUGUGCUGGCUUCCACUUGUGCCUGCCAGUAUCCCACAUUUACAUUUAAUCUUGGGUUCCCAAAGACAGGAACCCCAUGAGACCAGGCCACACAGUGCUUCCACAGCACACCUUUCUGUAAAGACAUUCCCCUGAGGCUAGUGGGCAACCCAAUGCAAAUCAGCCCACUCUGUGAUCAGCUCAUCUUCCAUCAGAGUCUUAACCAUUGGUAGUGAAUGUUCCCACAACCUCCAGGUGUUCAAACCUGCCUUUUAAUCUAAGUGCGUAAAGAACAAAUAGCCCAUUGCAAUAAUAAUCAUUCACUACAACCCUGUCAGCCACUUUCCAGGUUUUGCCAGUGACUCGUCAGCCACUGCACACGCAAAAGUCAAGUUCUCUCUCAUAGUAAAAAGUAAUUCCUGGUACCCCAAAAGCCAAAGAUCAGGUACUACUUUUAACAGCUCUUGGCCUGGCACAGUGGCUCAUGCCUGUAAUCCCAGCACAUUGAGAGGCCGAGGCGGGCAGAUCACCUAAGGUCAGGAGUUCAAGACCAGCCUGGCCAACAUGUUGAAACCGUGUCUCUACAAAAAUACAAAAAUUAGCCGGGCAUCAUGAUGGGUGCCUGUAAUCCCAGCUACUCGGGAGGCUGAGACAGGAGAAUUGUUUGAACCCAGGAGGUGGAGGUUGCAGUGAGCCGAGAUCGCACCACUGCACUCCAGACUGGGUGACUGAGACUCCAUCUCAAAAAAAAACAACAACAAAAAACAGCUCUUAGAAUUCUUCAUUAGUUACAAUUUUGUUUCCUCCGUGGCAAUAUGAAUUGCAAUUUGUGAAUUAAAAACAUUAGAAUUUGAAAAAAUUUUGGCUGGACAUGGUAGCUUAUGCCUGUAAUCCCUAGCACUUUGGGACGCCGAGCGAGGCAGGCAGAUCACCUGAGGUCUGGAGUUCAAGACCAGCCUGACCAACAUGGUGAAACCCCUUCUCUACUAAAAAAAUACAAAAAUUAGCCCAGUGUGGUGGCGCAUGCCUGUGGUCCCAGCUACUCAGGAGGCUGAGGCAGGAGAAUCGCUUGAACCCGGGAGGCAGAGGUUGCAGUGAGCCAAGAUCAUGCCACUGUACUCCAGCCUGGGUGACAGAGUGAGACUCAGUCUCAAAAAAUAAAUAAAUAAUAAUAAAUAAAAUAAAAUAAAAUUCAAAAUUAUCUGGACAUCUGAAUUUUAUCUGACAUGCCCUUUCAUCAUAUUGCUAUAUCCUUUGUCUUUCCUCAAUUAUAUUUUAUCAAGAAGGCCUUUUCCAACCAUUUUAUUUAGUAUGGCUCCCCCACCUCCACUUCUCUCAUAAAUUGUUCUGGCCCUAGCACCAGCAUACAGCAUAGUUUCCUGUUUAUUUGCUUAGUGUCUGUCUCCUUCAGUAUAGAAUGUAAUCUUGUGGCGGUCAUGGUGGCUAACACCUGUAAUCCCAGUACUUUGGGAGGCUGAGGCACGUGGAUCAUUUGAGGUCAGGAAUUCAAUACCAGCCUGACCAAUGUGGUGAAACCCUAUCUCCACUAAAAAUACAAAAAAAUUAGUCUGGCAUGGUGGCACAAGCCUGUAGUCACAGCUACUCAGGAGACUGAUGCAGGAGAAUUGCUAGAACCCGGGAGACAGAGGUUGCAGUGAGCUGAGAUCGCACCACUGCACUCCAGCCUGGGCGACAGAGUGAGACUCCAUCUCAAAAAAAAUAAAGUAAUCUUGUGAGGGCAGGAUUUUGAUGCUAUGUUCACCACUGACUCCAAAAUGGCACAUAGCGGGCUCUCAGUAGAUAUCUAUUGAACAAAUGGAAGCAUAAAUAAACAAGCAAUGCUACACUUGCUUUCUCCAGCACCAUGGGAGCAGAUCCAGGGAGCAGACAGGGAAAGAAGGCUACAGCCCCUGCCCCCUGGUGGAGCUGGAAGAAUCAAUAAUUUUCAUUUAUUUAUUCAUCUAAUGUGCUUUGCACGCUCCCUAUCUGCCAGGAUCAGCUUGUUGCCAGGGAUACCGGGUAAACAAUCCCAUAAGGUUCCUGUGGUCUGGAGGAAGAAACAGACAUUAACGCACAAUAGGGAGAUGGUUACUUAAUUAUAGUGGUGAACUGUCAAUGAAGGAAAAGCAAAAAAAAAAAAAAGGUCUAACCUGGUAUAGGGGUCAGGGGAGACUUCCUCAAGGAAGGGAUAUGGAGUUGAGGCCUGAGGCUGAGCAUGAAUUAACUGGAGGCAGAGCUCUGUGGGUGGAGAUGUCAUUCCAAGCAGGAAGCCCGGUUAAUGCAGGUACCUUGAUAGAAGGAAGGCCAGGGUGAGGAAAAAGGCCGGGUUACAGGCAGUUACUAGGAACCUUGUGGCCUGACUUGUUGCUGAGGAGGAAGCAAUAGCCAGCUCAGAGGGCCUUGUAGUUCAGGUGAUGCCCCAUUUCUGUGUUAGUCUAUUUUUGCGUUGCUAUAAAGAAAUACCUGAGGCUGGGUAAUUUAUACAGAAAAGAGGUUUAAUUUGGCUCACAGUUUAGUAGGCGCCAGGAAGCAUGGCGCUGGCAUCUGCUCCUGGUGAAGGCUCAGGGAGCUUUCAAUCAUGGCGGAAGGUGAAGGAGGAGCAGGUGUGUCACAUGGUAAGAGUGGGACAGAGAGACAGAGACAGGGAGAGAGAGAGUGCAAGAGAGAGCAAAGGAGGGAGGAGGAGCCAGCCUUCCUUAAACAGCCAGCUCUCAUGUGAACUAACAGAGUAAGUACUCACUCAUCACCACGGGGAGGACACCAAGCCAUUCAUGAGGGAUCCGCCCCCAAGACCCAGACACCUCCCACCAGGCCCCACCUCCAACACUGGGAAUCGCAUUUCUUUUUCUUUGUUUUUUAAUUUUGUACUUUAAGUUCUGGGAUACAUGUGCAGAACAUGCAGGUUUGUUACAUAGGUAUACAUGUGCCAUGGUGGUCUGCUGCACCUAUCAACCUGUCAUCUAGGUUUUAAGCCCCACAUGCAUUAGGUAUUUGCCCUAAAGCUCUCCCUCCCCUUACUCCUCCCCCAUAGACCCUGGUGCGUGACAUUCCUGUCCCUGUGUCCAUGUGUUCUCAUUGUUCAACUCCCACUUAUGAGUGAGAACAUGUGGUGUUUGGUUUUCUGUUCCUGUGUUAGUUUGCUGAGGAUAAUGGCUUCCAGUUUCAUCCAUAUCCCUGCAAAGGACAUGAACUCAUUCUUUUUUAUGGCUGCAUAGUAUUCCAUGUUGUAUAUUUGCCACAUUUUCUUUAUUCAGUCUAUUAUUGAUGGACAUUUGAGUUGGUUCCAAGUCUUUGCUAUUGUAAAUACUGCUGCAAUAAACAUACAUGUGCAUUUGUCUUUUUUUUUGAGUCAGAGUCUCGCUCUGUCGCCCAGGCUGGAGUGCAGUGGCAAGAUCUCAGCUCACUGCAAACUCCGCCUCCCAGGUUCAAGCAAUUCUCCUGCCUCAGCCUCCCGAGUAGCUGGGAUUACAAGCGCACGCCACCAUACUCGGCUAAUUUUUUGUAUUUUUAGUAGAGAAGGGGUUUUGCCAUGUUGUCCAGGCUGGUCUCAAACUCCCAGCCUCAUGAUCUGCCUGCCUCAGCCUCCCAAAGUGCUGGGAUUACAGGUGUGAGCCACAAUGCCUAGCCAUGUGUCUUUAUAGUAGAAUGAUUUAUAUUCCUUUGAGUAUAUGCCCCAUGGGAGGGAAUCACAUUUCAACAUGAGAUUUGGAGGGGACACACAUCUGAACCACAUCACACAGCAUAUUCCCAACUCCAGCUCCCUCCUCUCCACAAGAAUGUAGGAUACCCAUCACUCCCAGGAUCAGCUUCCUUGAGCCCAAUCCUCUGUAACUCACUGAGAUGCUAUGAAGUGCCUGGUAGGUGCCACACUGUGCCACAGUCAUGCUCCAAGACAGUGUGGAGUGAGGGCCAGAGGGCCAGGAGGCAGGAUUGGUUUGGAGACAUUGCCUUUCUUCAAACCUCAGUUUCCUCUUAAAUCAAAUAAAUGAUUGCAGAAGAUAAGCUCAUAUUAAUUCCAUUUCUAGGAAAAAUCUGUGUUCCAAACAGUAGCACUGACUAAUGGAAAGUACAACUGGCUGUUUCCCUUGAACAGUGGGUUUAUUGUUGUUUUUCCAAUUAUAAAAGUAAUAAGAUUAUUUGUAAACUAUAGAACAGUAGAAAAAGUUUCUUGAAUGAGAUUUGGUUUUCAAUCAGGGCAAAUAAAGACUUUUCUGGGAUUAAGAGGGCUGUUUCUUCUCCAUUACUUUAUACGGACCCGUACUGGGGACUUGUCAGCUGUUCAAGUACAACGCACCCAGUUUUGGUUCUGUACCAGGAUUAGGCCUACAAUAUUUCAGAAUUCAUAUACAAACCCCAAUAAAGUGUUAAAGGAGAUGACUGCCCUAUAACCUAUGUUUUGCUGAAUGUUUACUAUGAGGUUUUUUUUUUACCAUCCUCAUGAGUAUGGUAUUGUAACUGAAACUCUCCAGGAAAAUUCCUCUGCUUAAAACUAAAAAUCAAGUGUAUCUCAGGAAACUCUACUGUCCCAUCUGAAAUGCCUCUGUUGUGUGUUGUCUGCAAAGGUGGAGUCUCCCUGUUUUGUUCAGGCUGGUCUCGAACUCCUGGGUUCAAGGAAAUCUCUCUCCUCACCCUCCUGUGUAGCGGGGACUGUAGGCACCUGGCUGUGGUGGAUACUAUUAAGCCAAAUUCCAGUCAGCAUCCUCUUUUCAAUGAAGUUGAAAGGAGAGAUGAUGAAACUGGCAGUGUUACUGAAUGGGAAAUAAAGGUGGGAAUACACAUUGUGAGUGAAGACACGGAAGUAACUUCUGCAAUACAACCUUGUAAGAGUCUUAAUGCUACACUCCUUUGUUUAUCAAAUGAUGUACCUUUAUCGUAAGGGAAGAACCUGGGCCAUUCCCUCUGGUGUUGAGAGGCAAUUUGGAAACUCUGCCAUUUCUUAGGACUGAGUAUUUAAUAUACUAUUUUGUGGAAAUCUGAGAGGCAGAAAUGGGAUUUAAUGAUCUCAACUGUCAUCCAUCUAAAAAACCUAAUUUGCAAUUUUAAAUAAAAUGGCAUGUUGCCUUCUACUAUUCUCUUUUUGUUUUUUGAGACGGAGUCUUGCUCUGUCACCCAGGCUGGAGUGCAGUGGCACAAUCUCAGCUCACUGCAACCACUGCCUCCUGGGUUCAAGCGAUUCUCCUGCCUCAACCUCCCGGGUAGCUGGGAUUACAGGCACACGCCACUAUUCUAGGCUAAUUUUUUUAUUUUUUGAGACGGAGUCUCGCUCUUUGCCCAGGCUGGAGUGCAGUGGUACAAUCUCAGCUCACUGCAACCUCUGCCUCCUGGGUUUAAGCGAUUCUCCUGCCUCAGCCUCCUGAGUAGUGGGAUUACAGGUGCGCACCACCACGCCUGGCUAAUUUUUGUAUUUUUAGCAGAGACGGGGUUUCACCAUGUUGGCCAGGCUGGUCUCAAACUCCUGACCUCAGGUGAUCUGCCUGCCUCAGCCUCAGCCUCCCAAAGUGCUGGCGUGAGCCACGGCUCCCAGCCUACUAUUCCCCUUUUAAAACAGGAACCAACCCUGCAUUUAAUUUUAUGAAGUCUGAUUUAUUUAUUUAUUUAUUUAUUUAUUUAUUUAUUUAGAGAUGGAAUCUCAUUCUGUCACCCAGGCUGGAGUGCGGUGGCGCAAUCUCGGCUCACUGCAACCUUUGCCUCCUGGGUUCAAGCGAUUCUCCUGCCUCAGCCUCCCGAGUAGCUGGGACUAAAGGUACCUGCCACCACGACUGGUGAAUUUUUGUAUUUUUAGUAGAGAUGGGGUUUCACGAUGCUGGUCAGGCUGUUCCACUAUGUUGGCCAGGCUGGUUUCAAACUCCUGACCUCAGGUGAUCCGCCUGCCUCGGCCUCCCAAAGUGCUGGGAUUACAGACGUGAGUCACUCUGCCCAGCCGAA